Non-coding RNA from Pelobates cultripes (western spadefoot toad), 272 nucleotides. Lineage: Eukaryota; Metazoa; Chordata; Amphibia; Anura; Pelobatidae. The record is from the annotation of a GenBank genome assembly.
AGAAGGAGCUAUGGGACACGGAGUCUGUCCCUCCCACUGCAGGGUGACACAGACAGAAGGGAGCUAUGGGACACGGAGUAUGUCCCUCCCGUUGCAGUGUGACACAGACAGAAGGAGCUAUGGGACACAGAGUCUGUCCCUCCCGUUGCAGUGUGACACAGACAGAAGGAGCUAUGGGACACGGAGUCUGUCCCUCCCACUGCAGGGUGACACAGACAGAAGGAGCUAUGGGACACGGAGUCUGUCCCUCCUACUGCAGGGUGACACAGACA